CCUACGGGAGGCAGCAGUGAGGAAUAUUGGUCAAUGGUCGGGAGACUGAACCAGCCAAGCCGCGUGAGGGAUGAAGGUACAGAGUAUCGUAAACCUCUUUUGUCAGGGAACAAAGGCGGGGACGUGUCCCCGGAUGAGUGUACCUGAAGAAAAAGCAUCGGCUAACUCCGUGCCAGCAGCCGCGGUAAUACGGAGGAUGCGAGCGUUAUCGGGAUUUAGUGGGUUUAAAGGGUGCGCAGGCGGUCUGUUAAGUCAGCGGUCAAAGCCCGGGGCCCAACCCGGGCCCGCCGUUGAAACUGGCAGUCUCGAGUUGGAGAGAAGUAUGCGGAAUGCGCGGUGUAGCGGUGAAAUGCAUAGAUAUCGCGCAGAACUCCGAUUGCGAAGGCAGCAUGCCGGCUCCACACUGACGCUGAGGCACGAAAGCGUGGGUAUCGAACAGGAUUAGAUACCCUUGUAGUC
This 459-nucleotide ribosomal RNA is filed under the name uncultured bacterium. RNAcentral describes it as "partial 16S ribosomal RNA". It matches the Rfam family "Bacterial small subunit ribosomal RNA", at positions 338 to 795 of the family's 1533-position model. The record is from RNAcentral.